Molecule: ribosomal RNA, 479 nt
Filed under: Bacillus cereus
Lineage: Bacteria; Bacillati; Bacillota; Bacilli; Caryophanales; Bacillaceae
Description: bacterial SSU rRNA
Rfam family: Bacterial small subunit ribosomal RNA
Source: RNAcentral
CUGAGUUUGAUCCCUGGCUCAGGAUGAACGCUGGCGGCGUGCCUAAUACAUGCAAGUCGAGCGAAUGGAUUAAGAGCUUGCUCUUAUGAAGUUAGCGGCGGACGGGUGAGUAACACGUGGGUAACCUGCCCAUAAGACUGGGAUAACUCCGGGAAACCGGGGCUAAUACCGGAUAACAUUUUGAACCGCAUGGUUCGAAAUUGAAAGGCGGCUUCGGCUGUCACUUAUGGAUGGACCCGCGUCGCAUUAGCUAGUUGGUGAGGUAACGGCUCACCAAGGCAACGAUGCGUAGCCGACCUGAGAGGGUGAUCGGCCACACUGGGACUGAGACACGGCCCAGACUCCUACGGGAGGCAGCAGUAGGGAAUCUUCCGCAAUGGACGAAAGUCUGACGGAGCAACGCCGCGUGAGUGAUGAAGGCUUUCGGGUCGUAAAACUCUGUUGUUAGGGAAGAACAAGUGCUAGUUGAAUAAGCUGGC